RNAcentral lists this ribosomal RNA (253 nucleotides) under uncultured bacterium. RNAcentral describes it as "partial 16S ribosomal RNA". It matches the Rfam family "Bacterial small subunit ribosomal RNA", at positions 524 to 776 of the family's 1533-position model. The record is from RNAcentral.
UACGAAGGGUGCAAACGUUGCUCGGAAUCAUUGGGCGUAAAGCGCACGUAGGCGGCCUCGCAAGUCGGAUGUGAAAUACCUAGGCUCAACCAAGGACGUGCAUCCGAAACUGCAAGGCUUGAGUACAGAAGAGGAUCGCGGAAUUCCCGGUGUAGAGGUGAAAUUCGUAGAUAUCGGGAGGAACACCGGUGGCGAAGGCGGAUCUCUGGGCCUUACCUGACGCUCAGGCACGAAAGCUAGGGGAGCGAACAGG